AGUGGGAUAGCUGGGUCAAAUGGUGAUUCCGUUCCAAGUUUUCUAAGGAAUCUUCAUACUGUUUUCCAGAGUGCUUGCAUCAAUCUGUAGUCCCACCAGCAAU
This 103-nucleotide microRNA precursor is filed under the name Marmota monax (woodchuck). Lineage: Eukaryota; Metazoa; Chordata; Mammalia; Rodentia; Sciuridae. The record is from RNAcentral.